Long non-coding RNA from Bombyx mori (domestic silkworm), 612 nucleotides. RefSeq lists it as uncharacterized. The transcript is spliced from 2 exons. Lineage: Eukaryota; Metazoa; Arthropoda; Insecta; Lepidoptera; Bombycidae. The record is from RefSeq and is a predicted model, not a curated record.
AGACACACAUUUUUUUUUCAGUUAAGACAUCAUUACUUUUGCCAAAUAUAUCGCUUGGGUGACUAUGUGAUGUAAAACCGUGUAUUGUGAGUUACAAUGCACAUCCAUUUAAGGCCAGGCAGGAUAUAGUGAAUCUAUUGGAAGAGAUCGUUGAACUUUUCACACGCCCUUGUUUAUGACUCUGUCGUCCAAAACAAAAUAGAUCAUGUCUUAUUAAAGAUCAAGGUUACAAUUUUAAUAUAAAAGCUAGUUGUAAGUGAAGCUCUGUAUGAUUCAGUACUUGUACUUACUCGAAACAAACAACAUGUUCAACAAAUUCGUCGUUUUCUUCGCUCUGUUGGCCGUGUCUCUGGCCGCUCCAAACCCUAAGGCAGCGCCAGAACCAGCUCCGCAAUUUCUCCCAUACACGAGCCUGGACUACGUUUAUACACCCGGCUUAGUACCCUCCGUGGUAUCUCCAUACGCCUCUGCUGCUGGUGCUGUUCCCAUCACUUACUCUGCACUGCCCUCGGCAACUUAUUACGUUCGUUAAAGAAAGAAGAUUUCGCGCCAUCUCUCCAAAUGAUUUCUGUGCUUUUCUGGAUUAUGCAUUAAAUCUCAACCAUAUUCAAA